Long non-coding RNA from Callorhinus ursinus (northern fur seal), 3733 nucleotides. RefSeq lists it as uncharacterized. Lineage: Eukaryota; Metazoa; Chordata; Mammalia; Carnivora; Otariidae. The record is from RefSeq and is a predicted model, not a curated record.
GCAGCCCCGCAUCCAUGCUUCGGGUCGCUUGUCGGGCUGGGCGCAGCCCCCUACCUCUGCAGACCUCCUCCCCUCCCCCCUCCGGCCAAGAGCCCCAGCUGGCACUCAGCAGGUCCCUUUCCAAUUUGCUGCACUUUCGGGAGUUCGUUAUUCCCACGGGAAGGAGGAAGAACUCGUUGCCAUGGCGAUGUGAGCCUCCCAACCCUGAGACCUGCCCCGGAGGCCCGAUCCUUCCCCGCGCAGCCCCGCCCGGCCUCCCUGGCUCGGGGCGGCCACGGUGGGCCCGCCCUGCCCUGUUGGAGAAGGUUUUCAGGCUCCAGAUUCUUUGGGCUUGAGGGAAGGAGGGGCCGUUAAUUAGGAACGCAAGGUAAGAGAGAAGGGGAAGUGAAGGAAGAAACAUGGAUGAGAAGGUUUUCUUUACAAGCCCCCUGGCCACUCGGCCCUUUCCUCCCACCCACCGGGACUCCUCAAAUGCUGUCUCCCUGGUGGUGGAGCAUUUGGCUGGGGAUGUCGGACACUCUUACUUUCCUCUCAACGUCUUCCAGGAACCCCCGGGCAUUUUUUUUUUUUUUUAAGUUUCUGGAACGUAGCACACUGGAAUGAAGCUUUAACCUCUCCUGCCCCUCCAGCCGGGGACUGAAAAGUAGGGGGAGCGGGAGCGAGCGGGUCGGAGCGACCAGCCGAGCCCUGCGACCGGGGGUGGAAGGGAGGCGACGCUUUCUGCGCCCGGCGCUGCACCGCCCUGCCCGGGCCCGGGGCCACGGCGCGGACAGCGGUCGGGGUCAGGGUGGCUGCCCAGGGAAAAGCUCCAAGCAUAUCACUGACUGGCCUGCUGGAAACCCUUUCAUCUCUGCUCCAUCCGCAGCAGCUCUUUGAUUAACUGCCACUGGAGCCUCCAACCAUCGCCACGCUGUAAAUCCCUGGGUGCCCGCCGGCUCAGAUCUGGGGCACGUGUACACCCAGGUGCUCCGCCUUUCUUCAGCCUUCUUCCCUCUUCCUGCUGCCUCCCUAUCCUUGAAGCCUUAGGACUUGUGGUGGCAAUGAACCUUAGGUUCUUCCAGGAGUCUUUUUCCUUCCAGCCCCUUCGUGCACCCACCUACCCCAACACGUGCCUUUUUCCUUCAGCUACGCCGUUCCUCCCCUCAGUGUCCACGCACACGCGCGCCCGCGCCCGCGCAGGCCUCUUCCCUUCCCUUCCAUCAGGCCCGUGAGAAGUCCGCUCCCCCAAUGGCGAGAGCACAGGCGGUGGACAGGUGCCCACGCAGCCCAAGAGCAGCAGGCCCACGUGGAAACAGUGCUUUUGACAAGCCGAGGCAUCGUAUUUCAUGAGUGAGCCAAAUGUAGAAAGGAUUAGCUGUUUCACCCAAUAAGCCCACAUCUGUAGUUACAUUCUGAUGGGGAUAAAAUUACUCUGGUUAUUAAUCCUUCUGCUUUAGGGUAUAAGCUGAUCACCAGCUGGGCUCAGGGAAAAAAAUUCUAUCCCGGCUCCUGCCAGGCUCCUCCCCAUCCUCACCUGCCCUGCCUUCUGUGCUGCGUUGUUGCGCUUUUAGGUCUGCAGACCAAGCUGAAGGCCACCAGUGGAGGCCCCUCUGAGACAGAGGAGCUCCAGUCUGUUCUGCAGAGGACAUCCCUCCAAUCACGUGACUGUGUAUUGGGACUCUACUUUCGGCAAAACCUCGCUGGUCUUCACUGUGGCGGAAGCAAAGAUGAUUCCUAAACGGCCGUGGCUUUUUCCUGCGGAGGAAAGCUGAAGUGGGCGGUCCGAACCCGCCGGUGGUUUCUGGGACUUUCUGCCCUGAGGCGCCCUGGGUGUAUCCAGUGGCCUAGGGGGCAUCCAUUUUGGGCCCGGCAGGAUUUUUCUAAGCCAACAAGGAAGGGGUUUCUGUAGCCUUCGCCUCUGUGGCUUCUCCCCUAUGGGAAACCAGCAGGACAGGUAGCUUUGUUUCCAUCCAGAUCCUUUCUUUUUAGACCCCAACUCAGCGGGCACUGGCGACUUCUGGGAGUCUCCCUGUCCCUGGGUGACAGAGGCGCCGUCGAUAAUUACAUGGAACUUUCCUGAGCAAACCAGGGUGUGUUCGCCUUACCUGAGGGGUCCUUGACGUUUGCAAGGGCCAUGCUAGGAGACGCCACUGAAACACGGCAAAGCUGUACCAGAAUCUAAAUAUACGAAGGAUCUACAGUUCUAGGCUUUUCCAAACUUCGUCUCACCUCAUAGAAAUGCAACUGGCCUGUGCCGGCCCUCCUGGGGACCCCACAAAGUGAGGACUAACUUAUCUAAUGAAAUCAUAGAAGCUAAGGUGUUAACGGGUUACCGGGACACCACGUUGUUGUUGUCACCUUCACCCACGUGGUGCUUGGGACAGUGAAGACAUGGCAUCGUAAUGCCUUGAGUCACAGGUAUCUGUGAAAUGAGUGAAUGAGUGAAAAAUUAAAGAGGACCCGUGCUAAGAAGAGGCAUCCCAAGAUUGGCAUUGGGAAGGCAGCUGGAGCAGACAGUGGCAAAGGCCUCCUCGGAGCCUCGGAGCUCUCCUUCCCCGGCACAGGUCAGAGGGGAUAUUCAGUCCUCCAGUUGUCUCCCAAGAGAGAGCCUCUUUCUGUCUUUUCCCUGGAGCUCUCUGAGAAACGUCGCACCACCUCUGCAGCCGGGGGUCUCUGCCUCUCCAAGCUUCAGCGCCAUUCUUCCCAAUGGCCACCGCAGCUCCCUCAAACUGCGGUCUCAGUGCAUCCAUCUGCCUGCUCCUUCGAAGCCAACAGCUCCUGUCAGGGCCAGGGUAGGACUGUGGUGAGAGCCAGCCCAGGCGGAGAGCCCACAGAAGGCCCUGGUGGGGAGGGGGGAGAGGCGUGUGCAGAAACACCGCUCAAGGUGAUGGGGAUCUGCAGGAGGCGGAGAGGGGCCCCAGGGAUUCACUCGGCAAGAGUAAUUACAUUGAACACAACAGAUCUCGGGGCCAGCAUCACUGCCCAGAGCAUGGCCCUGAACGAAUGUGGAUUGCUUCAAUUAUCUGGGCAUCUUGAUGAAUGGGCACGGCACACGCUCUGGGGAAGAUGGGAGGAAACGAGCCACAGAUUAAUCACUCGUGGCAUCACUGAACGGAGGGUGUUUAGAGCCCGCGAGAGCCCCGGGGACAACAGGUUCACAAAAGCAGAGAGGGAAAUGGAAAGCAAUCAGGGCGCAAUUAGAAAAAAAAGGGGAGGAAGCCAGUCUAACAGCGAGGCUCAUCUUUUUUAGACGAAUUUGCAUAAAGGUAGUGACAAUGGAGGUAGCCCUGGUAGGGACUAGGGACAGAUAGUGGGGUUCUGUUAUGGGAACUGCCUGCCUCCAGUGGGGCCAAGGGCUGGGCCCCAAAGGUAACCCCAAACCAGAGAAGGAGGGUCUCAGAAACAAAGGUAGGGGUGUAGGGAGGAGCAAGACAAGGAGGCAAGAACUAAUGAGAGCAACACUGUGGAGGCUUCCAGAGGAAGAGGAGGUAAUGUGCCGUUCUAGGCUUUCCUAGGACUCCAACAGUGCGCCCCAUUAGUGGCGUCUCAGGACCUCUCUGCCCCCAAAGUACUACCGGGUAGGUGAGCCAAAAUAAUGAGAAUUAUUUUUCCUGGAGAAGUGUUUGGUUGUGUAGGUCCAGCAUGUAACAUACGGUCUAUCAUAAAUGUUUCCCGAACGAGUGAACACAAAUAGCUAGCAUUAGUUACACUUCUCCUGUGUCAGGCAAUAUGCUAAGUGCUUUACACAAAUAAA